RNAcentral lists this ribosomal RNA (378 nucleotides) under uncultured Pseudomonas sp. RNAcentral describes it as "bacterial SSU rRNA". It matches the Rfam family "Bacterial small subunit ribosomal RNA", at positions 68 to 447 of the family's 1533-position model. The record is from RNAcentral. Lineage: Bacteria; Pseudomonadati; Pseudomonadota; Gammaproteobacteria; Pseudomonadales; Pseudomonadaceae.
GGUAGCAGAGAAGCUUGCUUCUCUUGAGAGCGGCGGACGGGUGAGUAAAGCCUAGGAAUCUGCCUGGUAGUGGGGGAUAACGUUCGGAAACGGACGCUAAUACCGCAUACGUCCUACGGGAGAAAGCAGGGGACCUUCGGGCCUUGCGCUAUCAGAUGAGCCUAGGUCGGAUUAGCUAGUUGGUGAGGUAAUGGCUCACCAAGGCGACGAUCCGUAACUGGUCUGAGAGGAUGAUCAGUCACACUGGAACUGAGACACGGUCCAGACUCCUACGGGAGGCAGCAGUGGGGAAUAUUGGACAAUGGGCGAAAGCCUGAUCCAGCCAUGCCGCGUGUGUGAAGAAGGUCUUCGGAUUGUAAAGCACUUUAAGUUGGGAGG